UACGUAGGGGGCAAGCGUUGUCCGGAAUCAUUGGGCGUAAAGAGCGUGUAGGCGGCUUGGUAAGUCCGCUGUGAAAGUCCAGGGCUCAACCCUGGAAUGCCGGUGGAAACUGUCAGGCUCGAGUCCGGAAGAGGCGGGUGGAAUUCCUGGUGUAGCGGUGAAAUGCGCAGAUAUCAGGAGGAACACCAAUGGCGAAGGCAGCUCGCUGGGACGGUACUGACGCUGAGACGCGAAAGCGUGGGGAGCAAACAGG
RNAcentral lists this ribosomal RNA (253 nucleotides) under uncultured bacterium. RNAcentral describes it as "partial 16S ribosomal RNA". It matches the Rfam family "Bacterial small subunit ribosomal RNA", at positions 524 to 776 of the family's 1533-position model. The record is from RNAcentral.